Molecule: long non-coding RNA, 2591 nt
Filed under: Sus scrofa (pig)
Lineage: Eukaryota; Metazoa; Chordata; Mammalia; Artiodactyla; Suidae
Description: lncRNA (ENSSSCG00050073542.1)
Source: RNAcentral
GAACCCUGACAGACGUGCUGCUGGAACAGACAAUCCUGUGGAUUUCAGUGAGUGAACACAGCAGAGUUGAUGUCUUGCCCAGGGAGCAGCCCAGCUCCAGGGUUCCUUGCCAGGGGCCAGUUUUUCCCUAUGUGGUGAUUCAAAGACCCAGGCUUCUCUCAUCCUAUGGUCCACUUUCCUCCAGGCCUCUGAGUCCUUGAUGUCCAGCCUGCAGAAAGGAGAGUGAGAGUAGAGAAGGCACCUCUUCUUACCCACUUUGGCCUGAUGAGACACGCAUCAUAUCCACUCACUUUUCUCUGCUGGAAACCAGUCACAUGACUCCAUCAAGAAGGAUGAGGGGGCUGGGAAACGUGGUCCUGGACAGGAAAGCCACUUCCAAACAAAAACUCUCAUCUUCAGAAAAGGAAACAAGACUGAUAGCUACCCGUCUUUUUCGUGAACACUCACUUUCUUAUGUGUAUUUUUAGGAAGAUCUACUCCACCUCAAGCUGUAAUUCCUUUUUUGUGUUUUCUUGGGUGCAUUUGUUUCCUUCUGAGAUGACACAGAGCCUCUUCUGUCAUUUUCCUGAGUGGUUGACUUCACAUCGUUAGACUUUGCACAGAUCGAAAAUCGAACAAGAAAAGCAAGGCUGGAUCCCACAGAGGCGGAACACAUUACUGCGUGUGCAAGGAGCAGGAGGCGAGGUCGGCGCAGUGGGUGUUCAGAAGAAGGAAAGACUUGAGCUGUUACGUCCAGAGAAAGCAUUUCUGGAAGAAGAGUGCUUGACGGAGGCCUUAGCGAUUUGGAUGCCUCCUGUCUGUACGUGGCGAGAGCGAUGGAGACAGAUAGUCGAUGCAUCCAGCUGCAAGAGGAAGCAGUAGCUUAAGUCAAAUCAGUGUUUGUCUACUGAGCACCCGGGCUAAGGACACCUUCAGUCGGGAACAAGCAAGUAAAGCAUUGCCCUUGAGGAGCGUAUCAUCAGGCUGACUGUUUUGGACGAGGCUUUUUGGUGUCAGGGAACAGAAGGCCCCUUGGACUGGCUUAUGCAAAACCAAGGCUUCAUUAUAAGCAGGAAAAGGAAAGCUGCUGGGUCUCAGCAAGAAACUGAAACCAAGAACUGAGGUCAGCAGAUAGCAGUGUGGUUCUCCUUGUGGGUCCCGUCUCUUGCUGCUGCUUUUCCUCGGAGUUUCUACUUCAUGCUCCCUCCCUGCUGACACAUUGUGCGAGCUUAAGACCAGCUGAAACUGCUCAUCAUGCCUGUGAGAUCACCUCUUCCCUUCCAGGGGAACAGAGUUUUCACUGGGCACAAGGCUGUCUAGGGGAAGGCUGUGCUUCCAUAUGCCUCCCUUGCUUUUCAUUGCAACUGCCGACGAGGCUCUGGCCGAGGCGAUGCGGACAGAAGUGACAUAGUGGACAGCUGCCAGGUAGUGCUCUUACACAGAAGGGAGUGAGCGCCUCUCUUCCUUUUCCGUCCUUGCUGCCGAGGUGUGGCUGAGGAGGGCAGAGCUGAAGCCAUGUCUUCGACCUGGAGGUGGAAGCUGCCAGUAGGACAUGGCAGAGAUGCUGGGUAGAGGGGGCUGCGGUGUCCAGUCACUCUGUGGAGCCAUCAGAUGAGCCUUGACUGCUUGGGUUCAGACCUUUUUAGGAAAGAGAAACAUGCUUUCGUCUGUUUAGCUGGUGUUCUGUUGGAUCUUUGAGGAGCCUGGAGCCUAACAAAUGAACUCGCUUUCUCUGCUUUUCUGAAUUGGAAAAUGACCACCUUACAGCUUCUAAGUUUAUAAGACCUAAGUUGAAAUGACCAACCAAGGGUCCCAUAACCCAAGCAAAAGACUCGACUGCCUGUUAGGGUCUUCUCAUCAGCAAAACUGAGUGGGGAGAGUUCUAGGAUACAGGCCUAGCUGCCGGGCCCACCCCAGGGGCAGGGCGAAGGGCAGGGUGUCCUCAGAGAGGGCCACCUGCUUUAUUGACCUGGGCUUCAGUGCUGAGGCUAACCCUUGCUAGAGGCGUGUGUGUGUCUCAUUUUAUAAUGUAUCACCUGUAAACAGAAGGCAUCUGCAUUAAGCCGAUUAGUGAGUCAGAGGGAAGCUCAGAAAAUGGAAGGGAACCCAGCACACCCUCCCCAUUAGUCAGGCCUCUUGUGGGAGGUGGACCUGUGCGCCGACACAGAUCCUCCAAAGCUGCUUGUUCUGCUGAGGGGGAUGACAGCCCCAUGCAGAGAAGAAGGCUCUUCAGUCGAGUAUUUGAGGAGCUGUGUUCCCUUCUAGACCCUCAAACCAGGCAUAGCAAUGCUGAGGUGAUUUUGGUAGGUAGGGGAGAGUUGGGGGUGAAAGGAAGGGAUGUCGGGAGUUCCCGUCGUGGCUCAGUGGUUAACGAGCCCGACUAGUAACCAUGAGGUUGCAGGUUCCAUCCCGGGCCUUGCUCAGUGGGUUAAGGAUCCGGUGUUGCUGUGAGCUGUGGUGUAGGUCUUGGACUCGGCUUCUGAUCCCGCAUUGCUGUGGCUCUGGUGUAGGCCAGUGGCUACAGCUCCGAUUCGACCCCUAGCCUGGGAACAUCCAUAUGCCGCGGGAGCGGCCCUAAAAAAGACAAAAAGACCAAAAAAAAAAAAAAAAAA